RNA transcript from Planococcus citri (citrus mealybug), 6455 nucleotides. It is a transcript of the gene named putative metabolite transport protein YwtG, with no coding region annotated. The transcript is spliced from 8 exons. NCBI's taxonomy places the organism in Eukaryota, Metazoa, Arthropoda, Insecta, Hemiptera, Pseudococcidae. The record is from RefSeq and is a predicted model, not a curated record.
AUUUCAUAGUCUAUAGAAGUACAAGUGCUCUUACUUCCUGCGCGACUAUAUUAUAGUCUUUCAAAAAUCGUUCAAAAAUGGGCAAAGUGCCAAAAAAAGCAGUUCGAAAACAAAUCAUUGCCUUAAUCCCAGUAUGCAUGAAUGGUUUGAUUGUUGGGUGUUCUUAUGGCUGGAUGCCUAAUGCAAUAUAUUUCUUGUUAGCUGGAGAAGAGGUAAGCGCGACCCUUUUCCAAUGCACUCUCAUAGCAUCGUUCCCAGAAAUAGGAAGGGUUUUGUCCGCAAUACCAGCAGGAAUGCUAACAGACAAAUAUGGAAGAAAAAAAAUCACCAUAGGUGUUGCUAUUUUACACACUUUCGCUUGGCUGGGGCUUUCAUUAGAUAAUACAUCUAUAAUUAUUACGUAUAUAUCGAGAUUUGUAAUUGGAUUUGGGAUAUCUUUGAUCGAUGCAACAUCAUUCAUAUCAAUCGGCGAAAUCGCAUCACCUGAAAUUCGUGGCAGACUGACCGGAAUUUACUCAAUUUUCCUAAACGCUGGAGUAAUAUCGGUAUCAAUUAUAGCUGUAAUAUUUUCCUCGUAUAGGUCACUUGCACGCGGUGUAACAAUUCUGUGUAUAAUAAGCCUUUUAUCAAUGUACUGGGCGAUGGAAACUCCCCGCUUUCUAAUAUCCAUUUCAAAAUCAGAACAAGCCAAAAAUAACUUCUUGAAGAUCAGACAAGAAUAUCAAGAAAACGAUGUAAACGAAGAGUUUGUGAAAUUACAAAAAUACAUCGUAGACGAAAACACUCUCAAAAGUCAACUCAGCUGGAGGCAGUUUCUCAAAAUGGAAGCUGUUCGAAAACCCCUUCUAACUGGUGUUUUGUUAAACAUUUUCAUGAAGUUGAGUGGAGGGACGUUAUUUGGAUAUUACCUAACUUCCUUACUACCAUCCAAUAACUACAUACCAAAGAUAUACUACCCUCUAAUCACACAAACGUUUUUAUUUUUCAUUUCCUUCGGUUUGCCAUUAUUUAUUGACAGCUUCUCUCGCAGGAGUAUGUUCCUGUUUGGUGCUGCUGCAAUGGUGGCGAUCAAUAUGAUUUGCGCAUUAGCAAAUUAUUUCUUGGUUGCAAAUGAAGCAGUGUCCAUUUUUGAGUGGGUUUUUGCUAUGGGAAAUAUUUUAUCUUCGGUGUGUACUGAUGUGAUACUAUUUCCAGUGAAUAGAGCUGUCAGAUCUGAACUAUAUCCUCAAGCUGUGAAAGGGUUUGGUGGAUCGCUUGCAGUCAUUAGUAUUGCACUAUCAGACAUAAUGUUAAACCAAAUGUAUGGCUUUUUUAAAGCGUAUUCUCAUUUGUAUUUUAUGUAUUUUAUAUUUUUGAUGAAUUCUAUGAUUUUAUGCCUCGUAAUUUACUUUUUACUACCGGAGGGUUGUGGAGUAGCUCUACCUGAUAUCCAAAUGAAAUUCAAGAGUAUUAAGAGUAAACACACAGUAUGAUUCUCUCCAUUGAAAAAAAAUUGCAAAAAUAAAAUGAACUAAUUAUUUUAUACUUAUCUAGUUAAUUUUUCUUCAUUUGCAAUUUUUCUCGAACGUCGCAUUCAUUGAAAUGAUAACAGUUGAUACCUGUACGUAUAGUAUUUUAGAUAAUAUUAUUCUGAUUUGAAAAAUUUAGCAUCACUUCAUUAAGCAUCAUAAAUAACUUCUAAUUUUCAUGGCAACACGUUCAGCUUUCUUCGCUGUAACUUGAGUAGAGAGAAAAUGAAGGCCCAUAUAAUUUAAAGAAAAAAUUCAUUGUUUGUGAAAGCGCAAAGAAAUGAAUUUGUUUUGAAUAGGCAACUUACCCUAUUUUCGACCUUGUGAAACGAUUGGUAAUGGUUUCAAACCGUUCUGGAGCUUCCAGUGAAUUUUAAUUUUUUUUAAAUUUUCCCUCUCAAAAAUACCUACUUACUCACCUACGUAAUCACAGGAGAAAAUUUUAGAUUUGAACGGCAUGAAAAGAUUUUGAAAUUUGCGCCUAAAUUGAUUGAAAAGGUCAAAAUAAAAAUGGUAAAUUCGAGUUUACAUAUGAGUCAAAUAUCAUCCAAAAUGAAUUUUUAAAAUUUUCGGAGAAUUUUUAAAAAUCUUUUUGCCGAAAAUAGAAAAAAAUCAAAAUUUAGUAAAGUUGAAAAUGAACGCUUGAAUUUUGCAUGUUGGUACCUAUUUUCUAACGAGAUGCUCAUUUUUCUCACAUCUACUAUAAUUUUCAAUUUUUUAAUUUAUAUCUAUCACAAAUCGCUCUGUAAUAGGUAUUUUUUUUGCGAAGUCGUAAUAAAUAAAAUCUAAUUUUAUCUUUGAUAUGUGAAUAGAGGUACAUGAUAGGUUCACUGAGUAGGCGAAGGCGAAGUCUUGGAUAAUAAUAAAAACUACUUAAUAGAAAUGUAAAAAUAAGAUAAGGCGAAUUGCGAUAUGAUAAUUGCCAGCUAAAAAUGAGAACAAAUAAUUGAAGCACAAGGACACAGUCAUUUCAUAGUCUAUUGAAGUACAAUGUGCUCUUAUUUCCUAUGUACGUGACUAUUCUUUUAAAAAUUGUUCAAAAAUGGGUAAAGUACCAAAAAAAGCAGUUCGGAGACAAAUUAUUGCCUUAAUCCCAGUAUACAUGAAUGUUUUGAUUAUUGGAUGUUCUUAUGGCUGGCUGCCUAAUGCAAUAUAUUUUUUGUUGGCUGGAGAAGAGGUAAGUGCGACCCUUUUCCAAUGCACUCUCAUAGCAUCGUUCCCAGAAAUUGGAAGACUUUUGUCUGCAAUACCAGCAGGAAUGCUAACAGACAAAUAUGGAAGAAAAAAAAUCACCAUAGGUGUUGCUAUUUUACACACUUUCGCUUGGCUGGGUCUUUCAUUAGAUAAUACAUCUAUAAUUAUUACGUACAUAGCGAGAUUUGUAAUCGGAUUGGCGAUAUCCUUGAUCGAUGCAACAUCAUUAAUAUCAAUCGGCGAAAUAGCAUCACCUGAAAUUCGUGAUCACUUGCACGCGGUGUAACGGUCCUAUGUAUAAUAAGCCUUUUAUCAAUGUACUGGACGAUAGAAACUCCCAGCUUUCUAAUAUCCAUUUCAAAAUCAGAACAAGCCAAAAAUAACUUCCUGAAGAUCAGACAAGGGUAUCAAGAAAACGAUUUGAACGAAGAGUUUGAAAAAUUACAAAAAUACAUCGUAGACGAAAACACUCUCAAAAGUCAACUCAGCUGGAGGCAGUUUCUCAAAAUGGAAGCUGUUCGAAAACCUCUCCUAAUUGGUGUUUUAUUAAACAUUUUCAUGAAGUUAAGCGGAGGGACGUUAUUUGGAACUUACAUGACCUCUUUAUUACCAUCCAACGACUACAUACCAAAGAUAUACUACCCUCUAAUCGCGCAAACGUUUUUAUUUUUCAUUUCUUUCAGUUUGCCAUUAUUUAUUGACAGUUUUCCUCGCAGGAGUAUCCUCCUUUUUGGUGCUGCUGCAAUGGUACUGAUCAAUGCGACAUGCGCAUUGGCGAAUUAUUUCGUGGUUGGAAAUGAAGCAGUGUCCAUUUUUGAGUGGAUUUUUGCUGUGGGAAAUAUUUUAUCUUCGGUGUGUACUAAUAUGACAAUAAUACCAGUGAACAGAGCUGUCAGAUCUGAACUAUACCCUCAAGCUGUGAAAGGGUUUGGCGGAUCGCUUGCAGUCAUAAGUAUUGCACUAUCAGACGUAAUAUUAAACCAAAUGUAUGGCUUAUUUGAAGCGUAUUCUCAUUUAUAUUUUAUGCAUUUUAUAUUUUCGAUGCAUUCUGUGAUUUUAUGUCUUGUCGUUUAUUUUUUACUACCAGAGGGUUGCGGAGUAGCUCUACCUGAUAUCCAAAUGAAAUUCAAGAAUAAGAAUAAACACACAGUGUGAUUCUCUUCAUUGAAAAAAAAAUGCAAAAAUAAAAUGAACUACCUACUUAUUUUAUACCUAUGUAGUUUAAUAUUUCUUCAUUCGCAAUUAUUCAUUGAAAUUAUAAAAGUUGAUACCUACUUAGUACUUACGUACCUAUUUUAGAUAGGUACCUAUGUUUCAAACCGUUUUGGAGCUUUCAGGGAAUUUUUUUUUUCAUUUCCCUCCUCUAAAAAAAUACUUACUCUCUUACCUACCUAAUCAUAGUGAAUUCGAGUUUUGGUAUUACGAGUCAAAUAUAAUUUUAUCCCUGCUAAAAGUGCCUUUUCUAAAAUUAACUAGGGAAUUUGAAAAUCCACCGGAGGCUUCAUAACAGUACGAAACGAAGUAGAUUUGCGAACGAAUUUUUGUAUUUUUACAACAAUAUAAUCACUAGAGAAAAUUUUGAAUUUGGCCUGACAUAAAAAGUUUUUGAAAGUACCUACACGAGUAUGCCUGAAUCGAUCGAAUGAGUAAUAAAAGUUGGUAAAUCCGACUUCAUAGAUGCUGAAUUUCAUCUUCACACUGCAUUACUUACAGAAUUUUUUGGGAAAUUGGUCAAAAAUAGGGUACAAACCAAGUUUCAGCUUUUUAGGUCAAUUUCGUAAAAUUUUAACUUUUUCUCAUAUUUGGGAAAAAUUUUAAUUUUUAAAAAUUCUCCGAAAAUCUAAACAUUUUGGCUUUGUUGGGUUCAAAAAUUAGUUUGCCGGAUUGGGAUAAUUUCUUUGUAAGGUGUAAGUAGGUACCUAUUUUUUCAAUAAUUUUGUCAUUUAUUCUCGCCAUUAGAACUCGUGAAGAGCGAAUGAUUACUUUUUUAUAAUACGUAGGUACCUACUUGCUUCUAUGGCCUUUCUGAGUUCAUGUGGAGCAAGUUCUAAUCUAGGUUGAAAAAAUGUAGCGAAAAAUUGAUAACAUUGGAACAUUUAUGAAAAGGGCCAGACAUUCGGGCGACAGGGAAUAAUUCUACUGUAAGAAUCGGACGCAUGUGAAUAAGAUGAAGUGAAAUCUUUAGAUUAUGACAGAAUUCUGAUAAGAAUACAAAUGAGAUUAAGAAAUCUGCCAAAAUGAUAAUGAAAAGAUCCAAGCGCAAUUAACAUUUUAGUUGCUCAUAGAUAUCUAGUGGUAUAGGCAUACAAAUUAAUGAAAUGAAUAAAGUGCCAAGGAAAGCAGUUUGGAGACAAAUCAUUGCUCUGAUCCCAGUAUACAUGAACAUAUUGUUGGCGGGUUGUUCGUACAGCUGGAUGCCAAAUGCUACCUAUUUCUUGUUGGCUGGUGAGGAAGUAAGCGCCUCUCUUUUCCAAUGCACUCUUUUGGCAUCAUUCCCAGAGCUCGGGAGAGUUUUGUUUGCAAUACCAGCAGGAAUCCUAACGGAUAAGUACGGGAGAAAGAAAGCCACAAUAAUUGUUGCUAUUUUACACUUUUUUGCAUGGCUGAGCUUAUCACUGAAUACAUCCAUAAUCACGAUGUGUAUAGCAAGAUUUAUUAUUGGAUUGGCAACAGCUCUGAUGAAUGCAUCAGCACUAAUAUCAGUAGGUGAAAUAGCAUCGCCUGAAAUUCGAGGACGACUAACCGGAAUUUACCAAAUAUUCAAAGGAACUGGAGUGAUCUCGGUAUCGGUUAUAGCUGUAAUAUUUUUCUCAUAUAAAUCGCUAGUAUGCAGUACAGCAUUCCUCUCUCUAAUGAGCCUGCUAUCGAUGUACUGGAUGGCAGAAACUCCAAGCUUCUUAAUCGUCAUUUCAAAACCACAACAAGCCAAAAGUAACUUACAAAAAAUUAGGCAUGACUAUCCAGAAAAUCAGGUAAACGAAGAGUUUGAAAAAUUACAAAAAUAUAUCGUAGAUGAACAAAGUCUCAAAAACCAACUUAGUUGGGGAAAAUUCCUUAAAACAAAAGCUAUUCGAAAACCUUUGUUAAUUGGUGUUCUACUGAACUCGUUUACAAUAUUUACUGGAGGUACAUUAUUUGCAAAUUACACAACUUCUAUCAUCCCAUCAAAUGAGUACAUACCUAAGAUAUAUUAUCCUCUAAUUACACAGAUGUUUACAUUUCUUAUUACCUUCAGUUUGCCUUUAUUCAUGGAUAGAUUUCCUCGCAGAAGUAUAUUUCUUUUUGGUGCUGCAACAACAACGGUAACUAAUGCGAUUUGUGCAUUGGCGGACUAUUUUAUCGUUGCAAAUGAAGCCAAAUUUAUUUUUGAGUGGAUUUUUGUAACAGGAAAUAUUUUAUCUACAGUCUGCACCCACAUAGUGUUAUCACCAAUAAACAGUGCCAUCAAUUCAGAACUCUACCCUCAAGCUGUGAAAGGGUUUGGUGGUUCAUUAAGUGUAAUAAGUCAUGCAAUAUCAACUAUAAUCUUAAAUCAAAUGUAUAAUUUUUUUCAAGGAUAUUCUUAUUUGUAUUUUAUGUACUUCAUAUUUUCAAUGAAUUCGCUGGUGUUAUACCUCGUAAUAUACUUCCUAUUACCAGAGAGUUGUGGAAUAGCCCUUCCAGAUUUCCAAAUGAAGUUCAAGAAUAACCACGUACAGUGUGCUAAUGUCAAAGUUGAAAAAAAAUCGGAGAAAUAAAAUUUUUAAUCAGUUA